RNAcentral lists this ribosomal RNA (464 nucleotides) under uncultured bacterium. RNAcentral describes it as "partial 16S ribosomal RNA". It matches the Rfam family "Bacterial small subunit ribosomal RNA", at positions 339 to 795 of the family's 1533-position model. The record is from RNAcentral.
CUACGGGUGGCUGCAGUGAGGAAUAUUGCGCAAUGGGGGAAACCCUGACGCAGCGACGCCGCGUGGAUGAUGAAGGCCUUAGGGUCGUAAAAUCCUGUCAGGUGGGAAGAAGUGGAUAUAGAUUAAUACUCUAUUUCUUUGACGGUACCACCAAAGGAAGCACCGGCUAACUCCGUGCCAGCAGCCGCGGUAAUACGGAGGGUGCAGCGUUGUUCGGAAUUACUGGGCGUAAAGCGUGCGUAGGCGGUUUGUUAAGUCAGAUGUGAAAGUCCAUGGCUCAACUGUGGAAGUGCAUUUGAAACUGGCAGACUUGAGUAAUGGAGGGGGUGAUGGAAUUCCCGGUGUAGAGGUGAAAUUCGUAGAUAUCGGGAGGAAUACCGGUGGCGAAGGCGAUCACCUGGCCAGAUACUGACGCUGAGGUGCGAAAGCGUGGGGAGCAAACAGGAUUAGAUACCCCCGUAGUC